UUACGGCGAUAUCAUAUUGAAACACCAAUUCCUGUACGAUCGCUGAUGUUAAGCAACGUCGAGCUUGGUCAGUACCUAGAUGGGUGACCGCUUGGUAAUACAAUGUGUU
This is a non-coding RNA of Acanthosepion pharaonis, 109 nucleotides long. The record is from the annotation of a GenBank genome assembly. Lineage: Eukaryota; Metazoa; Mollusca; Cephalopoda; Sepiida; Sepiidae.